RNAcentral lists this ribosomal RNA (1458 nucleotides) under Lactiplantibacillus plantarum. RNAcentral's name for it is "bacterial SSU rRNA". It matches the Rfam family "Bacterial small subunit ribosomal RNA". Lineage: Bacteria; Bacillati; Bacillota; Bacilli; Lactobacillales; Lactobacillaceae. The record is from RNAcentral.
GGGGGGGUGCUAAUACAUGCAAGUCGAACGAACUCUGGUAUUGAUUGGUGCUUGCAUCAUGAUUUACAUUUGAGUGAGUGGCGAACUGGUGAGUAACACGUGGGAAACCUGCCCAGAAGCGGGGGAUAACACCUGGAAACAGAUGCUAAUACCGCAUAACAACUUGGACCGCAUGGUCCGAGUUUGAAAGAUGGCUUCGGCUAUCACUUUUGGAUGGUCCCGCGGCGUAUUAGCUAGAUGGUGGGGUAACGGCUCACCAUGGCAAUGAUACGUAGCCGACCUGAGAGGGUAAUCGGCCACAUUGGGACUGAGACACGGCCCAAACUCCUACGGGAGGCAGCAGUAGGGAAUCUUCCACAAUGGACGAAAGUCUGAUGGAGCAACGCCGCGUGAGUGAAGAAGGGUUUCGGCUCGUAAAACUCUGUUGUUAAAGAAGAACAUAUCUGAGAGUAACUGUUCAGGUAUUGACGGUAUUUAACCAGAAAGCCACGGCUAACUACGUGCCAGCAGCCGCGGUAAUACGUAGGUGGCAAGCGUUGUCCGGAUUUAUUGGGCGUAAAGCGAGCGCAGGCGGUUUUUUAAGUCUGAUGUGAAAGCCUUCGGCUCAACCGAAGAAGUGCAUCGGAAACUGGGAAACUUGAGUGCAGAAGAGGACAGUGGAACUCCAUGUGUAGCGGUGAAAUGCGUAGAUAUAUGGAAGAACACCAGUGGCGAAGGCGGCUGUCUGGUCUGUAACUGACGCUGAGGCUCGAAAGUAUGGGUAGCAAACAGGAUUAGAUACCCUGGUAGUCCAUACCGUAAACGAUGAAUGCUAAGUGUUGGAGGGUUUCCGCCCUUCAGUGCUGCAGCUAACGCAUUAAGCAUUCCGCCUGGGGAGUACGGCCGCAAGGCUGAAACUCAAAGGAAUUGACGGGGGCCCGCACAAGCGGUGGAGCAUGUGGUUUAAUUCGAAGCUACGCGAAGAACCUUACCAGGUCUUGACAUACUAUGCAAAUCUAAGAGAUUAGACGUUCCCUUCGGGGACAUGGAUACAGGUGGUGCAUGGUUGUCGUCAGCUCGUGUCGUGAGAUGUUGGGUUAAGUCCCGCAACGAGCGCAACCCUUAUUAUCAGUUGCCAGCAUUAAGUUGGGCACUCUGGUGAGACUGCCGGUGACAAACCGGAGGAAGGUGGGGAUGACGUCAAAUCAUCAUGCCCCUUAUGACCUGGGCUACACACGUGCUACAAUGGAUGGUACAACGAGUUGCGAACUCGCGAGAGUAAGCUAAUCUCUUAAAGCCAUUCUCAGUUCGGAUUGUAGGCUGCAACUCGCCUACAUGAAGUCGGAAUCGCUAGUAAUCGCGGAUCAGCAUGCCGCGGUGAAUACGUUCCCGGGCCUUGUACACACCGCCCGUCACACCAUGAGAGUUUGUAACACCCAAAGUCGGUGGGGUAACCUUUUAGGAACCAACCCCCCCCUU